CCUACGGGAGGCAGCAGUAGGGAAUAUUGCUCAAUGGGGGAAACCCUGAAGCAGCAACGCCGCGUGGAGGAUGAAGGUUUUCGGAUUGUAAACCUCUUUUGUUAGAGAAGAUAAUGACGGUACCUGACGAAGAAGCACCGUCUAACUACGUGCCAGCAGCCGCGGUAAUAAGGAGGGUGCAAGCGUUAAUCGGAAUCACGGGGCGUUAAGGGCGCGUAGGCGGGUUAGCAAGUCAGAUGUGAAAUGCUAGGGCUUAAACCUCGAACUGCCGUUGAAACUGUGAUUCUUGAGUAUGGGAGAGGUAGGUGGAAUGCGUGGUGUAGGGGUGAAAUGCGUAGAGAGGACGAGGAAUACUGAUUGCGAAGGCGACCUGCUAGAACAUAACUGACGCUGAUGCGCGAAAGCGUGGGGAGCAAACAGGAUUAGAUACCCUAGUAGUC
RNAcentral lists this ribosomal RNA (440 nucleotides) under uncultured bacterium. Its description in RNAcentral is "partial 16S ribosomal RNA". It matches the Rfam family "Bacterial small subunit ribosomal RNA", at positions 338 to 795 of the family's 1533-position model. The record is from RNAcentral.